UUUCGGCUAUUUUGCCUUCGCUGCAGACGUCAUACCACCUGUUUCCUCUAACAGGAAUAAGAGGGAGGAGGAUAGAAAAUAUACGUGCUUUGUGUUUAUAAGUGGCUUCCCUGUGCGGUUACAUUUGUCAUUAUUCAAAGUUGGGCCGUUGUCUUGCAAAACCGUGUCCUAAACCACCUUUGACUAUGCCAAACCGUGUUUUGUCGCCGUAAAUGCAACUUUUUGUGAACAACUUUAAUAGGAUACAUAGCCACAAUUUACAAGAAGCAGAAUCGAGAAUUGUCACAGAACCAAGACGGACAACAUACAGUAAAAGAUACAGAAGUGAAAAGAGACAGAAAGGAACAAUAACCAAUAAAAUUAGACAAAACAAAAGAAACAAAAAAGCAAAAUAGAAAGAAAAAAAUACCGAAAAUCUGUCGAAUUGUGCUCCUAACGAAGAGACAAGAAAAAAGGUACAACGAAGCACUAUAAAACUAUCCGUUUACAUGAGCUAAGUCUGCAAAUUAAGAGUUACCAUACCUGAGACUGUUAAAAUCUGCUUAAUGUUGUGCUCAAUAUAGCUGCAUUCACUGUGUACGUUUGUAAAAUAUAUUUAACACUCAAACGCCAAGACGUACUAUGUAGGGGGGGGUAAGCUUAUAAUUUGUGGAAAAAUGUUAUCACAUGGUGAUAAUCCGUGGAUUAUUAACUGGCUUGUAUAGGUGUAUCAGGAGAAUCUAUGGUGAUAUUUCAUUUACAAAUAUGUGUAGAAAUGACAUGCUUUGAAGUUUGGCGUCUCAUUUUGUUGCAUUUUCAACGAAAGAAAGAUUGGCUGGUCAAUUUUUUUCUCGCUUGUAUUUUCAGUGCCACUAUUGCUAGUGAAAUUAUAAUUGAAAUGUCAAUUUAACUUUGCCAAUUAUCUGGCUUUCUUGCGUUGAUGGAUUUAUUACUUGGUAAUAAAAAGAAAACCAAAGACGAAAAAUUAAUUAGGAUGUCUAUGUUAUAUGCAAAUAUUGGUUUAUGCAGUCGCUCUUUUGGUAUGGCUACCUUACGACCUUGCGGUCAAUAUAUAUGUCAAAGGAGCACGAGGUGUAGCGCUGAGAGCAGUUCGCUUUGGAGUGCUUGUGAAUAAAUUUCAUGGAAGCUAGGCGUAAAGAAAGUUCAUAGUACUAAAAUCAGUUGCAUCAAUUGGUUGUGUAAAUCAGGAUUGAAGAAAUUUUACUCGAAAAAAGAGUCAAUGUUGUGAAAGAAAAAAUGUACACAAAGCUUAAGAGAAAGGUUGAGCUUGUUUACAAAUGCACUUAACAUAAUAAUCUCAACCGAGAUGACGUUCUCAGUCGUCAUUGCUUCAAACUGAAAAUUGUGUUCUUUGUUUGAGAUGGUUGUAGGACACCUAGCCGACUUAAGACUCGGUAUCAACAUUCAGAAGGAAUGAAAAAGAAAUAAUUCUUUACUCUCAAACAAAUUACCAUGAUAGCUUUUUAGGCAGGGGUAUUGAUUAAAGCGGAAAUCUGUCCCAACUUGUUUGCUUGCUGCUCGACAUUAAAAAGACUCAAUGUUUU
Pocillopora damicornis (cauliflower coral) is the source of this 1544-nucleotide long non-coding RNA. RefSeq lists it as uncharacterized. The record is from RefSeq and is a predicted model, not a curated record. NCBI's taxonomy places the organism in Eukaryota, Metazoa, Cnidaria, Anthozoa, Scleractinia, Pocilloporidae.